RNAcentral lists this ribosomal RNA (474 nucleotides) under uncultured bacterium. Its description in RNAcentral is "bacterial SSU rRNA". It matches the Rfam family "Bacterial small subunit ribosomal RNA", at positions 27 to 518 of the family's 1533-position model. The record is from RNAcentral.
GGACGAACGCUGGCGGCGUGCCUAACACAUGCAAGUCGAGCGAGGAGAUCCUUCGGGAUGAUCCUAGCGGCGGACGGGUGAGUAACACGUGGGCAACCUGCCUCAUAGAGAGGAAUAGCCUUCCGAAAGGGAGAUUAAUACCUCAUAACAUUGCAGUUUCGCAUGGAACAGCAAUUAAAGGAGUAAUCCGCUAUGAGAUGGGCCCGCGGCGCAUUAGCUAGUUGGUGAGGUAACGGCUCACCAAGGCGACGAUGCGUAGCCGACCUGAGAGGGUGAUCGGCCACAUUGGGACUGAGACACGGCCCAGACUCCUACGGGAGGCAGCAGUGGGGAAUAUUGCACAAUGGAGGAAACCCUGAUGCAGCCAACGCCGCGUGAGUGAUGACGGCCUUCGGGUUGUAAAGCUCUGUCUUCAGGGACGAUAAUGACGGUACCUGAGGAGGAAGCCACGGCUAACUACGUGCCAGCAGCUGC